GACGAACGCUGGCGGCGUGCCUAAUACAUGCAAGUCGAACGCUGAAGGAGGAGCUUGCUCUUCUGGAUGAGUUGCGAACGGGUGAGUAACGCGUAGGUAACCUGCCUGGUAGCGGGGGAUAACUAUUGGAAACGAUAGCUAAUACCGCAUAACAGUAGAUGUUGCAUGACAUUUACUUAAAAGGUGCAAUUGCAUCACUACCAGAUGGACCUGCGUUGUAUUAGCUAGUUGGUGGGGUGACGGCUCACCAAGGCGACGAUACAUAGCCGACCUGAGAGGGUGAUCGGCCACACUGGGACUGAGACACGGCCCAGACUCCUACGGGAGGCAGCAGUAGGGAAUCUUCGGCAAUGGACGGAAGUCUGACCGAGCAACGCCGCGUGAGUGAAGAAGGGUGUCGGAUCGUAAAGCUCUGUUGUAAGAGAAGAACGAGUGUGAGAGUGGAAAGUUCACACUGUGACGGUAUCUUACCAGAAAGGGACGGCUAACUACGUG
This 495-nucleotide ribosomal RNA is filed under the name uncultured bacterium. RNAcentral describes it as "partial 16S ribosomal RNA". It matches the Rfam family "Bacterial small subunit ribosomal RNA", at positions 28 to 507 of the family's 1533-position model. The record is from RNAcentral.